Molecule: signal recognition particle RNA, 248 nt
Filed under: Pyrococcus abyssi
Lineage: Archaea; Methanobacteriati; Methanobacteriota; Thermococci; Thermococcales; Thermococcaceae
Rfam family: Archaeal signal recognition particle RNA
Source: RNAcentral
GGCUAGGCCGGGGGGUUCGGCGUCCCCUGUAACCGGAAACCGCCGAUAUGCCGGGGCCGAAGCCCGAGGGGCGGUUCCCGAAGCCGCCUCCGGAAGCCAGGGCCGAACGAUGAGUCCUCGUCCCGCGGGGUGCCCGGUGGGGGAGGCACGGCUGAAGGGCCGUGCUAACCCCCUUUAGGCCCCAAACCCCGCAAGGCCCGGAAGGGAGCAGCGGUAGGGGCCACGGAGCACGCUCGCGGGGGUGCGGG